This 382-nucleotide ribosomal RNA is filed under the name uncultured bacterium. RNAcentral describes it as "bacterial SSU rRNA". It matches the Rfam family "Bacterial small subunit ribosomal RNA", at positions 367 to 762 of the family's 1533-position model. The record is from RNAcentral.
CGCAAUGGGCGAAAGUCUGACGGAGCGACGCCGCGUGAUUGAUGAAGCUUUUCGGAGUGUAAAGAUCUUUUAUGAGGGAAGAAGUUUAUUGACGGUACCUCAUGAAUAAGGGGCUCCUAAUCUCGUGCCAGCAGGAGCGGUAAUACGAGAGCCCCGAGCGUUAUCCGGAAUUAUUGGGCGUAAAGGGUGCGUAGGUGGUAGUGUUAGUCGUUUGUUAAAUCUCUGGGCUUAACCCAGAAACCGCGAACGAAACGGCACAACUAGAGAGUGUGAGGGGUAUAGGGAACUAAUAGUGUAGGGGUGAAAUCCGUUGAUAUUAUUGGGAACACCAAAAGCGAAGGCACUAUACUAGCACAUAUCUGACACUCAAGCACGAAAGCGU